This is a long non-coding RNA of Phyllostomus discolor (pale spear-nosed bat), 837 nucleotides long. RefSeq lists it as uncharacterized. The record is from RefSeq and is a predicted model, not a curated record. The transcript is spliced from 2 exons. Lineage: Eukaryota; Metazoa; Chordata; Mammalia; Chiroptera; Phyllostomidae.
CAGUGUUUUCCUGAUGAAAAUUUGGAAGCAAUGAAUUUUUUUUUUUGCAAAGCAAAUGUAAAUAUCUAUAUAUAUUUUUAAAUUCUACAUCUUAAAACAUUAGGAUUGUCCAAAGUGUGUGUUAUAUAAUUUUCUAGUAUUUAACUGAAGGGCCUAACCACUAGGGCUACAAAACACAUUUGGGGGCAAUUAUGAUGACUAACCCCUGUUUACUGUCCUUGCACCAAUUACAUGCAAGAACAGAACACUGGAUUCUGAAGAUUGCAAAUAAAAUAUUUCUUCAAAAUUGAAGAAACAUCUCUAAUACUUUUGGGUCCAAAGUUUUGAAUUUAAGCCUCAGUGCUCAUUGCUGAACUAAACAAUUCCAGAAAACAUAAUUUAAGAAAACAUCAGGCAGAGGAAAAUGUGGUUUUGUGCCAUAAUGUCUUGAAACAUUCAGUUAUGGUUUGAUGCUAUUCAAUGUUCAGUUGCAUAUUUGGAGGAGAAAUCAUUGCUAUUUUAAGGAAACACUACUUAAAACUAUGGAAAUUUAGUUGACUCUCAUGAAUGACAGCAGUUUUUACAGACUACUUAUUCAUCCAUUCAACUACUCAUUGAGUAUCUACAAUGUGUCAGAUACUGCCACUGUGUUGUUAUUCUUCCUGCUCUAGGUACUGACAUUUUUUGAGAUAGUCUGAUGAGGACAAAUAAAAUGCCACACCUUAAAAUCAUCAUUAAUAUGAACCCUGUGAAACACCACAAACCACUCAAAUGCAGGAAAGAGGUGGUAAACUGAGGCCCAGAGAGAUUAAGAAUUUCAGGCACACAUCUACUAAGUGACUCAAGAUUUAAACUCAG